AACCCAUGUUGUGGACACUUCCGCAAGAGAUCCUUGAAUCAUUUCCAUGCCUCAAAUAAUGAUUCAAGCUCCAGCUGAGCAAAUGAAGAUAUCUUAUUGUGAAGAU
This is a small nucleolar RNA of Dioscorea cayenensis subsp. rotundata (Guinea yam), 106 nucleotides long. The record is from RefSeq and is a predicted model, not a curated record. Lineage: Eukaryota; Viridiplantae; Streptophyta; Magnoliopsida; Dioscoreales; Dioscoreaceae.